AUAGUCUAUGCUACCAAGAGGCCAAAGGUCAACCUGGUGCGACUUGAGAGCAAUGAUGCUCUCAAGGAUGAAAUAGUUGUACCCAGGGGUACUCUCGUGACUUGCCUUGCAAGCAUAGAGCUGCAGUUUGAAGAUGUUGGUGCUCCUAUUCAAUUUCUGGAGUUCUUUGAUUCAUUUGGCAAGAUCUGCAAAAUAAGGAAGGGGCAACUAGAAGAAACUCUCAAAGACUUAACUCAACUUGAAGAGGUGUCUUUAGUUGUUGCCGACCUUCACAUAAAGUUGUUCUCCAUCAUAGAAAUUGGCAAAGAUAUCUCUUUUGAGUAUCCAGGACAUGUAGAUGAAUGGAUAAGAAAAGUCGGCGAGUACAUCACUUUGACAUUACACAGAGAAGAUUUCACCCUUCGCUGCUUAAAUCAGGGGGUAUCAGGAUAUACAAAUUUGAACCCUUCUUGUAAGUUGGAGGUGCUGAAUUGUUUGUGUGAUGAGGCAUUAUCUUCUGAAAAGUUGAGGACCUGGAUUGACAUUAAAGAUAGAGAAUGUGUGUACAGACAAAAAAUCAAAGCUGCAACUAGAAAGCAAAAGGAGCUAAAAGGAAGAUAUAAUGACAUGGCUAAAACAAUCGAAGGAGGAAAAACUGCUAGCAAAGAGGAAGUUAAUAAUAUCCUUUCUCAAAUAAAGGAAGCAUAAGAAGUCAAACAUGCUUCUUAUGCUUCCUUUAUUUGA
This 723-nucleotide ribosomal RNA is filed under the name Triticum aestivum (bread wheat). RNAcentral describes it as "partial small subunit ribosomal RNA". Lineage: Eukaryota; Viridiplantae; Streptophyta; Magnoliopsida; Poales; Poaceae. The record is from RNAcentral.